GAUGAACGCUGACAGAAUGCUUAACACAUGCAAGUCAACUUGAAUUUGGGUUUUUAACUUCGGUUUGGGUGGCGGACGGGUGAGUAACGCGUAAAGAACUUGCCUCACAGCUAGGGACAACAUUUGGAAACGAAUGCUAAUACCUAAUAUUAUGAUAAUAGGGCAUCCUAUAAUUAUGAAAGCUAUAAGCGCUGUGAGAGAGCUUUGCGUCCCAUUAGCUAGUUGGAGAGGUAACGGCUCACCAAGGCGAUGAUGGGUAGCCGGCCUGAGAGGGUGAUCGGCCACAAGGGGACUGAGACACGGACCUUACUCCUACGGGAGGCAGCAGUGGGGAAUAUUGGACAAUGGACCAAGAGUCUGAUCCAGCAAUUCUGUGUGCAAGAUGAAGUUUUUCGGAAUGUAAAGUGCUUUCAGUUGGGAAGAAAGAAAUGACUGUACCAACAGAAGAAGUGACGGCUAAAUACGUG
RNAcentral lists this ribosomal RNA (467 nucleotides) under uncultured bacterium. RNAcentral describes it as "partial 16S ribosomal RNA". It matches the Rfam family "Bacterial small subunit ribosomal RNA", at positions 28 to 507 of the family's 1533-position model. The record is from RNAcentral.